AUUGAACGCUGGCGGCAUGCCUUACACAUGCAAGUCGAACGGUAACGCGGGGCAACCUGGCGACGAGUGGCGAACGGGUGAGUAAAGCAUCGGAACGUGCCCAGUAGUGGGGGAUAGCCCGGCGAAAGCCGGAUUAAUACCGCAUACGACCUAAGGGUGAAAGGGGGGGAUCGCAAGACAUCUCGCUAUUGGAGAGGCGGAUGUCAGAUUAGCUAGUUGGGGGGGUAAAAGCUCACCAAGGCGACGAUCUGUAGCUGGUCUGAGAGGAAUACCACCCACACUGGGACUGAGACACGGCCCAGACUCCUACGGGAGGCAGCAGUGGGGAAUUUUGGACAAUGGACGAAAGUCUGAUCCAGCCAUGCCGCGUGCGGGAAGAAGGCCUUCGGGUUGUAAACCGCUUUUGUCAGGGAAGAAAUCCUUUGAGCUAAUACCUCGGGGGGAUGACGGUACCUGAAGAAUAAGCACCGGCUAACUACGUGCCAGCCGCCGCAGUAA
This 498-nucleotide ribosomal RNA is filed under the name uncultured bacterium. RNAcentral's name for it is "partial 16S ribosomal RNA". It matches the Rfam family "Bacterial small subunit ribosomal RNA", at positions 29 to 523 of the family's 1533-position model. The record is from RNAcentral.